RNAcentral lists this unclassified non-coding RNA (229 nucleotides) under plant metagenome. RNAcentral's name for it is "partial contains small subunit ribosomal RNA, internal transcribed spacer 1, and 5.8S ribosomal RNA". The record is from RNAcentral.
UCUCCGUAGGUGAACCUGCGGAGGGAUCAUUACGGAGGUCUUGUCCUACCGGGUAGAUCUCCCACCCUAUGCUAUUAUAACUGAGGUGCUUUGGUGAGCCGGUAGGCUUCGGCCCGACAGCCUACCCCGGCUGGUAAGCGCGGCCCAGAGGACCCAAAACCCUGAAUAUUAGUGUCGUCUGAGUACUAUAUAAUAGUUAAAACUUUCAACAACGGAUCUCUUGGUUCUG